Molecule: non-coding RNA, 29 nt
Filed under: Mus musculus (house mouse)
Lineage: Eukaryota; Metazoa; Chordata; Mammalia; Rodentia; Muridae
Also listed under: 1 other name
Source: RNAcentral
UUACUCUGUAACUAAGGCUGGCCUCAGAC